AUUGAACGCUGGCGGCAGGCCUAACACAUGCAAGUCGAACGAGUGGCGGACGGGUGAGUAAUACAUCGGAAUCUACUCUGUCGUGGGGGAUAACGAAGGGAAACUUAUGCUAAUACCGCAUACGAUUGAAUGAGCCGAUGUUGGCUUAGCUAGUUGGCGGGGUAAAGUCCCACCAAGGCGACGAUCCGUAGCGGGUCUGAGAGGAUGAUCAGCCACACUGGAGCUGAGACACGUUCCAGACUCCUACGGGAGGCAGCAGUGGGGAAUAUUGGACAAUGGGCGCAAGCCUGAUCCAGCCAUACCGCGUGGGUGAAGAAGGCCUUCGGGUUGUAAAGCCCUUUUGUUGGGAAAGCGGUACCCAAAGAAUAAGCACCGGCUAACUUCGUGCCAGCAGCCGCGGUAAUUC
RNAcentral lists this ribosomal RNA (406 nucleotides) under uncultured bacterium. RNAcentral describes it as "partial 16S ribosomal RNA". It matches the Rfam family "Bacterial small subunit ribosomal RNA", at positions 30 to 526 of the family's 1533-position model. The record is from RNAcentral.